GUGAGGUCAGCAGCCUCCAGCCCCCACGGGAGCAGCCUCUGGCAGGGAGGGGAGGGCAGGCGGAGGCCUCCGUCCCUCCUGAGCCCCUCACACUUCCUCCAGCCCCAGCCCUGGGAUCCCAAGGGAGAAUCCAGCUGGCAUCCAGUUAUGACAUAUCUCGAAUACCCAAGCACGAUCUUCCACCCCCUGCCGCUGCCCGGGUACCGCUCCCGCACCGCGCCCAGACGGACGGACAGACACACGGCUCAGCAUGUCCGACAGCCCCAGCCCAGGAGGGACCCCUGAAGAGGGGGCCCCCGAUGAACCCCAGGGGCAGCCCCCCUGCGCCAAGCUCAAAGCAGCUGUGGAGAAAUGGCAACACUGCCUCUCACUAAACUAUGAUUAUUAUAAUGUAUUAGGUGUAUUAUGGUAGCACCUAGGAGUCCCAGUCAUGGCCCCCAUGGUGCUGGGCACUGUACAUUAUUUAUUAGGGGUAUUACGGUAGUGCCUAAAAGCUCCAGUCAUGGUCCAGGACCCCACUGUGCUAGGCACUGUACAUUAUUUAUUAGG
This 549-nucleotide long non-coding RNA is filed under the name Gopherus evgoodei (Goodes thornscrub tortoise). RNAcentral's name for it is "lncRNA (ENSGEVG00005017750.1)". The record is from RNAcentral. Lineage: Eukaryota; Metazoa; Chordata; Testudines; Testudinidae.